GACGAACUGCCCAAACGUUGUUCGGAAUCACUGGGCUUAAAGGGCGCGUAGGCGGCCGUUCAAGUCGGGGGUGAAAGCCUGUGGCUCAACCACAGAAUUGCCUUCGAUACUGGACGGCUCGAGACCGGAAGAGGUCAGUGGAACUGCGAGUGUAGAGGUGAAAUUCGUAGAUAUUCGCAAGAACACCAGUGGCGAAGGCGGCUGACUGGUCCGGUUCUGACGCUGAGGCGCGAAAGCGUGGGGAGCAAACAGG
RNAcentral lists this ribosomal RNA (253 nucleotides) under uncultured bacterium. Its description in RNAcentral is "partial 16S ribosomal RNA". It matches the Rfam family "Bacterial small subunit ribosomal RNA", at positions 524 to 776 of the family's 1533-position model. The record is from RNAcentral.